This 597-nucleotide ribosomal RNA is filed under the name uncultured bacterium. RNAcentral describes it as "bacterial SSU rRNA". It matches the Rfam family "Bacterial small subunit ribosomal RNA", at positions 341 to 929 of the family's 1533-position model. The record is from RNAcentral.
ACGGGAGGCAGCAGUAGGGAAUCUUCGGCAAUGGACGAAAGUCUGACCGAGCAACGCCGCGUGAGUGAAGAAGGUUUUCGGAUCGUAAAGCUCUGUUGUAAGAGAAGAACGGGUGUGAGAGUGGAAAGUUCACACUGUGACGGUAUCUUACCAGAAAGGGACGGCUAACUACGUGCCAGCAGCCGCGGUAAUACGUAGGUCCCGAGCGUUGUCCGGAUUUAUUGGGCGUAAAGCGAGCGCAGGCGGUUAGAUAAGUCUGAAGUUAAAGGCUGUGGCUUAACCAUAGUACGCUUUGGAAACUGUUUAACUUGAGUGCAGAAGGGGAGAGUGGAAUUCCAUGUGUAGCGGUGAAAUGCGUAGAUAUAUGGAGGAACACCGGUGGCGAAAGCGGCUCUCUGGUCUGUAACUGACGCUGAGGCUCGAAAGCGUGGGGAGCGAACAGGAUUAGAUACCCUGGUAGUCCACGCCGUAAACGAUGAGUGCUAGGUGUUAGGCCCUUUCCGGGGCUUAGUGCCGCAGCUAACGCAUUAAGCACUCCGCCUGGGGAGUACGACCGCAAGGUUGAAACUCAAAGGAAUUGACGGGGGCCCGCACAAG